UACGUAGGGCGCAAGCGUUGUCCGGAAUUAUUGGGCGUAAAGAGCUCGUAGGCGGCUUGUCACGUCGGAUGUGAAAGCCCGGGGCUUAACCCCGGGUCUGCAUUCGAUACGGGCAGGCUAGAGUGUGGUAGGGGAGAGCGGAAUUCCUGGUGUAGCGGUGAAAUGCGCAGAUAUCAGGAGGAACACCGGUGGCGAAGGCGGAUCUCUGGGCCAUUACUGACGCUGAGGAGCGAAAGCGUGGGGAGCGAACAGG
RNAcentral lists this ribosomal RNA (253 nucleotides) under uncultured bacterium. RNAcentral describes it as "partial 16S ribosomal RNA". It matches the Rfam family "Bacterial small subunit ribosomal RNA", at positions 524 to 776 of the family's 1533-position model. The record is from RNAcentral.